Molecule: transfer RNA, 86 nt
Filed under: Mariniphaga sp.
Lineage: Bacteria; Pseudomonadati; Bacteroidota; Bacteroidia; Marinilabiliales; Prolixibacteraceae
Also listed under: 1 other name
Description: tRNA-Leu
Rfam family: tRNA
About the family: Transfer RNA (tRNA) molecules are approximately 80 nucleotides in length.
Source: RNAcentral
GCCCGGGUGGUGGAAUGGUAGACACGUUGGACUUAAAAUCCAAUGGCCCUUUUAAGGCCGUGGGGGUUCAAGUCCCCCUCCGGGUA